RNAcentral lists this ribosomal RNA (331 nucleotides) under uncultured eukaryote. RNAcentral describes it as "partial 18S ribosomal RNA". It matches the Rfam family "Eukaryotic small subunit ribosomal RNA", at positions 1470 to 1796 of the family's 1831-position model. The record is from RNAcentral.
CCCUUAGAUGUUCUGGGCCGCACGCGCGCUACACUGACGAAGUCAGCGAGCAUGUCCUACGCCGACAGGUGCGGGGAAUCUUGUCAAACUUCGUCGUGAUGGGGAUUGAUUAUUGAAAUUCUUGAUCAUCAACGAGGAAUUCCUAGUAAGCGCAAGUCAGCAGCUUGCGUUGAUUACGUCCCUGCCCUUUGUACACACCGCCCGUCGCUACUACCGAUUGAAUGGUUUAGUGAGAUCUUCGGAUUGGCGCCACUGCGGCUCAGCAAUGGGCUCGGUGGAUGCCGAAAAGUUGAUCAAACUCGAUCAUUUAGAGGAAGUAAAAGUCGUAACA